UGAGUCCCUCGUGCGGCGUUACCUUAUGAACCUCCCCAGGGCCGGAAGGCAGCAAGGAUAAGUGAGCUCUAGCGGGUGCGCGAGGGGCCCAGCC
This 94-nucleotide signal recognition particle RNA is filed under the name Natronoglycomyces albus. RNAcentral describes it as "Bacterial small signal recognition particle RNA". It matches the Rfam family "Bacterial small signal recognition particle RNA". Rfam says of the family: The signal recognition particle (SRP) is a universally conserved ribonucleoprotein involved in the co-translational targeting of proteins to membranes. The record is from Rfam by way of RNAcentral. Lineage: Bacteria; Bacillati; Actinomycetota; Actinomycetes; Glycomycetales; Glycomycetaceae.